RNAcentral lists this ribosomal RNA (442 nucleotides) under uncultured bacterium. Its description in RNAcentral is "partial 16S ribosomal RNA". It matches the Rfam family "Bacterial small subunit ribosomal RNA", at positions 338 to 795 of the family's 1533-position model. The record is from RNAcentral.
CCUACGGGUGGCAGCAGUGGGGGAUAUUGCACAAUGGGGUAAACCCUGAUGCAGCGACGCCGCGUGGGCGAAGAAGUAUUUCGGUAUGUAAAGCACGAUCAGCAGGGAAGAAGAAAUGACGGUACCUGAGUAAGAAGCAGCGGCUAAAUACGUGUCAGCAACAGCGGUAAUACGUAUGGUGCAAGCGUUAUCCGGAUUUAUUGGGUGUAAAGGGAGCGCAGGCGGCACGGCAAGCACGAUGUGAAAGCCCGCGGCCCAACAGCGGAACUGCAUUGGGAACUACCGGUCUGGAGUGCCGGAGAGGUAGGCGGAAUUCCUAGUGUAGCGGUGAAAUGCGUAGAUAUUAGGAGGAAUACCAGUGGCGAAGGCGGCCUACUGGACGGUGACUGACGCUGAGGCUCGAAAGCGUGGGGAGCAAACAGGAUUAGAUACCCCAGUAGUC